Molecule: ribosomal RNA, 492 nt
Filed under: uncultured bacterium
Lineage: Bacteria
Description: partial 16S ribosomal RNA
Rfam family: Bacterial small subunit ribosomal RNA
Source: RNAcentral
AGUGAACGCUGGCGGUAGGCCUAACACAUGCAAGUCGAACGGCAGCACAGUAAGAGCUUGCUCUUACGGGUGGCGAGUGGCGGACGGGUGAGGAAUACAUCGGAAUCUACUUUUUCGUGGGGGAUAACGUAGGGAAACUUACGCUAAUACCGCAUACGACCUACGGGUGAAAGCAGGGGAUCUUCGGACCUUGCGCGAUUGAAUGAGCCGAUGUCGGAUUAGCUAGUUGGCAGGGUAAAGGCCCACCAAGGCGACGAUCCGUAGCUGGUCUGAGAGGAUGAUCGGCCACACUGGAACUGAGACACGGUCCAGACUCCUACGGGAGGCAGCAGUGGGGAAUAUUGGACAAAGGGCGCAAGCCUGAUCCAGCCAUACCGCGUGGGUGAAGAAGGCCUUCGGGUUGUAAAGCCCUUUUGUUGGGAAAGAAAAGCAGCAGGUUAAUACCCCGCUGUUCUGACGGUACCCAAAGAAUAAGCACCGGCUAACUUCGUG